GUGGGGAAUAUUGGGCAAUGGGGGAAACCCUGACCCAGCGACGCCGCGUGGGUGAAGAAAUCCCUCGGGAUGUAAAGCCCUGUAGUAUGGGAAGAGCAGAAGACGGUACCAUACGAGGACGCCCCGGCAAACUACGUGCCAGCAGCCGCGGUAAUACGUAGGGGGCAAGCGUUGUCCGGAAUUACUGGGCGUAAAGCGCACGCAGGCUGAAUUAUAAGUCGGUAGUCAAAUACGGAGGCUCAACUUCCGGAUAUCUAUCGAUACUGUAAAUCUAGAGUAUGGAAGAGGGAAGCGGAAUUCCCUGUGUAGCGGUGAAAUGCGUAGAUAUCGGGAGGAACACCAGUGGCGAAGGCGGCUUCCUGGCACAAUACUGACGCUCAUGUGCGAAAGCUAGGGCAGCGAACGGGAUUAGAAACCCGGGUAGUCC
This 427-nucleotide ribosomal RNA is filed under the name uncultured bacterium. Its description in RNAcentral is "partial 16S ribosomal RNA". It matches the Rfam family "Bacterial small subunit ribosomal RNA", at positions 354 to 796 of the family's 1533-position model. The record is from RNAcentral.